GAUGAACGCUGGCGGCGUGCUUAACACAUGCAAGUCGAACGGUGAGCACGGAGCUUGCUCUGUGGGAUCAGUGGCGAACGGGUGAGUAACACGUGAGCAACCUGCCCCUGACUCUGGGAUAAGCGCUGGAAACGGCGUCUAAUACUGGAUAUGUGACGUGACCGCAUGGUCUGCGUUUGGAAAGAUUUUUCGGUUGGGGAUGGGCUCGCGGCCUAUCAGCUUGUUGGUGAGGUAAUGGCUCACCAAGGCGUCGACGGGUAGCCGGCCUGAGAGGGUGACCGGCCACACUGGGACUGAGACACGGCCCAGACUCCUACGGGAGGCAGCAGUGGGGAAUAUUGCACAAUGGGCGCAAGCCUGAUGCAGCAACGCCGCGUGAGGGAUGACGGCCUUCGGGUUGUAAACCUCUUUUAGCAGGGAAGAAGCGAAAGUGACGGUACCUGCAGAAAAAGCGCCGGCUAACUACGU
RNAcentral lists this ribosomal RNA (468 nucleotides) under uncultured bacterium. RNAcentral describes it as "partial 16S ribosomal RNA". It matches the Rfam family "Bacterial small subunit ribosomal RNA", at positions 28 to 506 of the family's 1533-position model. The record is from RNAcentral.